GAAUUAAAGUAUAGUUUUAUGAAAAAAAGAUUUUAAUUUUCUUUAUAUUAAUUAUAUUAUAAAUUUAAUUUUUAUUAAUAGAAGAAUUUUUUUAAAUUUUUAAAAAUUUAAAAAAAGAAAUUAAAUUAGAUUUGGCGAAACUUGUGCCAGCCGCCGCGGUUAUACAAGUAAGUCGAUUUUUUUUUAUUUUAUGAAAAUAAAUAAUUUUUUUUAUUAUAAAAAUUUAUUUGGGUGAAAUCAAUAAAUUUUUAUUUAAAUAGAAAAGAUUGGAUUUUUGUAAUUUAUUAUAUAAACUAGGAUUAGAUACCCUAUUAUUAUAAGCUAUAUUUUGUUAGUAACUAAAUACUAUGAAACCAAAAAAUUUUGGCGGUAUUUUAAGCUUUUUAGAGGAAUUUGCUCUUUUAUGGAUAAAACGCCUAAAUCUUACUUAAUUUUGUUAAAUCAGUUUGUAUACCACUAUAGUUAAUAAUAUUAAAUAAUAGAUCAUUAAAAUUUUUUUUCAAAAAUAAUAAAUUAAGUCAAGGUGCAGCAUAAGAUUAAGGAUGAAGUGAAUUACAUUGAUUUUUAUUAUCGAGAAAAAAAAAUAUGAAAGUUUAAUUUUAGGAUUUAAAAGUAAAUUUAUAAUAUAAUGAUUAAUUGAAAUAAGCUCUAAAAUAUGCACAUAUCGCCCGUCGCUCUCUAAUUGGGAUAAGUCGUAACAAAGUAAAAAUACUGGAAAGUGUUUUUUAAGAUG
RNAcentral lists this non-coding RNA (733 nucleotides) under Ixodes barkeri. The record is from RNAcentral. Lineage: Eukaryota; Metazoa; Arthropoda; Arachnida; Ixodida; Ixodidae.